Molecule: ribosomal RNA, 500 nt
Filed under: uncultured bacterium
Lineage: Bacteria
Description: partial 16S ribosomal RNA
Rfam family: Bacterial small subunit ribosomal RNA
Source: RNAcentral
AUUGAACGCUGGCGGCAUGCCUUACACAUGCAAGUCGAACGGCAGCGCGGGCUUCGGCCUGGCGGCGAGUGGCGGACGGGUGAGUAAUGCAUCGGAACGUGCCCAGGAGUGGGGGAUAACGUAGCGAAAGUUACGCUAAUACCGCAUACGUACUGGGGUAGAAAGCGGGGGAUCGAAAGACCUCGCGCUAAUGGAGCGGCCGGUGUCGGAUUAGCUAGUUGGUGAGGUAAAAGCUCACCAAGGCGACGAUCCGUAGCUGGUCUGAGAGGACGACCAGCCACACUGGGACUGAGACACGGCCCAGACUCCUACGGGAGGCAGCAGUGGGGAAUCUUGGACAAUGGGGGAAACCCUGAUCCAGCAAUGCCGCGUGUGGGAUGAAGGCCCUCGGGUUGUAAACCACUUUUGGCAGGAAAGAAAUCGCCUGUGCUAAUACCAUGGGCGGAUGACGGUACCUGCAGAAUAAGCACCGGCUAACUACGUGCCAGCCGCCGCAGUAA